UGAACGCUAGCGAUAGGCUUAACACAUGCAAGUCGAGGGGCAGCACAAGGUAGCUUGCUAUCUGGGUGGCGACCGGCGCACGGGUGCGUAACGCGUAUGCAACUUGCCCUAUACAGGAGGAUAACCCGUCGAAAGACGGACUAAUACUGCGUAUGCUCACAACUUGGCAUCAAGUGGUGAGGAAAGGAAUUCGGUAUAGGAUAGGCAUGCGUCCCAUUAGCUUGUUGGUGAGGUAACGGCUCACCAAGGCAACGAUGGGUAGGGGAACUGAGAGGUUUAUCCCCCACACUGGUACUGAGACACGGACCAGACUCCUACGGGAGGCAGCAGUGAGGAAUAUUGGUCAAUGGGCGCGAGCCUGAACCAGCCAAGCCGCGCGAAGGAUGACUGUCUUAUGGAUUGUAAACUUCUUUUAUACGGGAAUAACAAGAGUCACGGGUGACUCCCUGCAUGUACCGUAUGAAUAAGCAUCGGCUAACUCCGUG
RNAcentral lists this ribosomal RNA (485 nucleotides) under uncultured bacterium. Its description in RNAcentral is "partial 16S ribosomal RNA". It matches the Rfam family "Bacterial small subunit ribosomal RNA", at positions 30 to 507 of the family's 1533-position model. The record is from RNAcentral.